UAGAAGAUAAAAUUGUGAGA
RNAcentral lists this non-coding RNA (20 nucleotides) under Rattus norvegicus (Norway rat). Lineage: Eukaryota; Metazoa; Chordata; Mammalia; Rodentia; Muridae. The record is from RNAcentral.